GUGGCAGGGAUAGUGUGUAUCAGCAUCGUGCUGCAAUUAAUGCACUCUGUUUCCGAAAGAGUUCCCUGCAAAAUCAAUUGUAAGAGGAAGAUGGGCAGUUGUAUUUCAUCCUAAUAAUUAGAAAUAUCAACAAUCAUCUGCCUGACAUCA
Small nucleolar RNA from Gossypium raimondii (Peruvian cotton), 150 nucleotides. It matches the Rfam family "small nucleolar RNA snoR135". The record is from Rfam. Lineage: Eukaryota; Viridiplantae; Streptophyta; Magnoliopsida; Malvales; Malvaceae.